UUUCAAAGGCAAACCCGCCGAAAGACGGGGACGCAAAGCCAUGGGUCUACGGCUUUUUUAGCUAUGACAGCCGGUUGCCGC
Molecule: non-coding RNA, 81 nt
Filed under: uncultured Anaerobutyricum sp.
Lineage: Bacteria; Bacillati; Bacillota; Clostridia; Lachnospirales; Lachnospiraceae
Description: Cyclic di-GMP-I riboswitch
Rfam family: c-di-GMP-I riboswitch aptamer
About the family: GEMM was predicted in a large-scale screen for bacterial structured RNA regulatory elements. Genes associated with GEMM are involved in a diverse array of functions, including chemotaxis regulation, signal transduction, secretion and chitin.
Source: RNAcentral